GCCUGGCUGGCUCAGUCGGAAGAGCAUGUGACUCCUAAUCUCAGGGUAGUGAGUUCAAGCCCCAUGUUGGGUA
Molecule: transfer RNA, 73 nt
Organism: Felis catus (domestic cat)
Lineage: Eukaryota; Metazoa; Chordata; Mammalia; Carnivora; Felidae
Rfam family: tRNA
About the family: Transfer RNA (tRNA) molecules are approximately 80 nucleotides in length. Their secondary structure includes four short double-helical elements and three loops (D, anti-codon, and T loops).
Source: Rfam